RNAcentral lists this ribosomal RNA (253 nucleotides) under uncultured bacterium. Its description in RNAcentral is "partial 16S ribosomal RNA". It matches the Rfam family "Bacterial small subunit ribosomal RNA", at positions 524 to 776 of the family's 1533-position model. The record is from RNAcentral.
UACGUAGGGGCCGAGCGUUGUCCGGAGUUACUGGGCGUAAAGCGCGCGCAGGCGGCUCGUCAAGCCUGACGUGAAAGCCCCCGGCUCAACCGGGGAGGGUCGUCAGGGACUGGCGGGCUUGAGGUCGGCAGGGGUUGGUGGAAUUCCCGGUGUAGUGGUGAAAUGCGUAGAGAUCGGGAGGAACACCCGUGGCGAAGGCGGCCAACUGGGCCGGACCUGACGCUGAGGCGCGAAGGCGUGGGGAGCGAACGGG